UGGGCUGUGGCUCAGUGGUAGAGCAUCUGUCUGUCGUGCAGAAGGUCUCAGGUUCAAUCCCUGACAUCUCAG
Non-coding RNA from Heteronotia binoei (common prickly gecko), 72 nucleotides. NCBI's taxonomy places the organism in Eukaryota, Metazoa, Chordata, Lepidosauria, Squamata, Gekkonidae. The record is from the annotation of a RefSeq genome assembly.